UGACCCCCUACGGAUCCUUAAGUCCUCCUUGCCUUCCAUGCCCCCACAAUCCCCUAUAGAGCCCUACAUCCUUUAUGCCCCCCAUAAGCUCCCACCAUCCCCUACAGACUCCGGCCCACCCCUUUGUGGCCCCAUUGGCACUGCACAGCACCGCCACCACCCACAUCCUUUUCCGUUGUGGGGCGGAAGGAAGCGGCGGCCCCACAGUGUGGCAGCAGCGCCAUGGCCGGCCCUAUAACCGCCCUUAUGGGCGUCGUGCUCGGGGCUCUGUUCUCCCCUAUGGGAUCCUUCAACAUCCAUCCGACCCCACAGCGGGUCCUGGAGGUCGCGGGGACCCCCAGCUUUGGUUAUGGGGUGCUGACGCUGCCGGAGGGACGGGUGGUUGUGGGGGCUCCAAAUGUGGGGCGGUUGUAU
Non-coding RNA from Phasianus colchicus (ring-necked pheasant), 414 nucleotides. The record is from RefSeq and is a predicted model, not a curated record. NCBI's taxonomy places the organism in Eukaryota, Metazoa, Chordata, Aves, Galliformes, Phasianidae.